AUAUAAUAUGUGUCUGUGUAUGCUGCUGGUGCACAGCUCUGUUUGGGGGUGAAGGCAGUGAGCAGAAAACACCCAAAUUCUGGUAGAUUUCAUUUAUCAGCUGACAACAGCUGUAGAUUUGUACAUGAGUGCUAUAUCUGAGAUCUGCUCGUAGGACCAAAGGGUAAAACUAGAUAGUUGAUGAUUAAAGUAUAUAUACUGUAACGUCUUUCCUUCUUGCAGUGUCUCAGUUUGAUCCUACCAGCAGAACUCACUGCUCACUGCCUUUGCUUUGCCUCUCUGGUUGAGCUGAUUCACCGGGCAAGGACAGAUCUGGAAACGACCGCAUACACAGAGGCUUAUAUACUCCCGUAUAGCGCCUUAUUCAAUAUACUUCACCUAUAAGAUGAUAACAUACCCCUAUUGUAUAACCCUCCUUACUAUAUACAGUAUAUGAUACCUGAUACCUAUUAUAAUACUUAGACACCCUUAUAAGGUAAUCUGAAUAAGAGAUGAUGGGCUGUCUUUUUUUCCCGUGGCUGUUGAAAAGUGUGCUGUGGUCAGAAAUGUGUUCGCAUCUUGUUUUUGAGAGUUAAAUGGGACAGGCUGUAAAGGAGAGUGGCGCUCACCCAAUGAAAAUAUAAUUUGAUUUUUUUCUUUAAAUCCCAUUUGGCCAUUAGACUAAAAUUUGUCGAUCUGGAUUUAGAUUUUUGCUGUUUAAAUAAGAGAGCAGAUCAUUUGAGGUGAGGCUCCUCUCCCUAGUGUUUGUGAGAGAGGUUGGGGAAACAAAGGGGAAACAAAGAAGCAAAUGUCUGGGCUGCUUGUUGUGUGCGUGCCAUUUAAAUGCCGAUGAAUCAUGACACAACCUUAUCGAGCGUGCGACGGAUUCUGGUGCCAAAGCGUCUGAUAAAACAGCCAGAUUUGCUCGCGCAGAUGUGGAAGAGAUUACUUUACUCUAUCCCCCCUCUUAAAGUAAAGGGGGUCCAUAAUGAAUUUUGUUGCUUACACAGGCAUGCUUCUCCUGAAUGUCACUUGACUUCAAAGUUGUGUGUUCUGAUAAAGUGUCCUGAUCCAAUCACUUCACUUUAUUGCAUCUUGCAGCAGUGAAAUGACGUUACACGCUCCCCAGUUUCUGCUCCAAAAAGAAAUAUUCAAGUGACCUACCAUCCCCCAUUGCCUCUUGACACUCCGGCUCCCCCACCCUCCGAAGAAGUUUGUGUCAUGUGUUUGGCAGCACCAACACACACCUACACAGCUACAAAAGACUGAACGAAUCAGUUUUCAAAAAGGUUAGAAAAUUUUUUUUCUUUUUUUUUUUUUUUUAUUGUUUUCGGCAACUUCGAAUGAGGAAACCAGGGAUGUAAGAAGUGGAAAAAACAAGGCCUCUGUAUGUUUGUUUUGUACGUGGUUUUUUUGUUUGUUUGUUUUUGUUUUUUUACAUUUUGUUGUUAUAUUUUUGGGUUUUUUCCUCUUGACUUUGUUUUUUCUUUUCUCCUCCCUGGUUGGAAGUUAAUGAUCACACAUGUGGACC
Molecule: long non-coding RNA, 1510 nt
Organism: Oreochromis aureus
Lineage: Eukaryota; Metazoa; Chordata; Actinopteri; Cichliformes; Cichlidae
Source: Ensembl